RNAcentral lists this long non-coding RNA (1878 nucleotides) under Mus musculus (house mouse). RNAcentral describes it as "predicted gene, 50012". Lineage: Eukaryota; Metazoa; Chordata; Mammalia; Rodentia; Muridae. The record is from RNAcentral.
CACAGCCUCUUUCCUUCCCUAUGUGAUGGGAGACAGUGUCUACCUUGCAGUCUAGAAGCACCAUCCUUUGACUAGCAUAAUGGUCAGUAGUGUGAGCUGCUGGAUCUGCAGGCCCCUUGUAGGAGCUGCCACUGAGGGUGCUUGCUUCUGACUCGCCAGUUCAAUGAAAGCCCCUGGUGUCUCCAGCUUAACUGCAAACAGCUGUCCUCCCCGGCCAGCUGGCUCAGAGCUCACUCACUCUUAUUACCUGAAGGUGUCUCUAGAAGCUUCCUCAGCCCUGAAAACCUGGGGACAGAGCUACAUGUGGGGAGAGGACAAAGGGGGCGCAGAGGAGGGAUGGAGACUUCUGUUCCCAUACCAUCGACUCUGUCCAACAAAGGCGUCACCCAGGCAUCAUCCAGAAAAUCAAGAGAGUCAUUCUGAGAUGGCUCAGCUCAGAGGCUGCCUCCCAUCUGAGGUUAACACAGACUCCAUUUUUGACUUUUAACCAAAUAACUGAGUGCCCUACAACCUGGCACUUGGCUUUGUCCCUGGGUAGAUCUUUAUUACCCAUGAAGAUUGUUGAAGCCCCUAAGGGGCACUGUGUGUGAUAUCGCCUUUUACACAAGGUUUGGAAAUCGCCGUAGGAACCCGGUGAGUGUUGGGUUUCAGAGAGUCUGUUAGUCAGAUAAUUAUGGAAAAAACUGACUUUCAUAAAUGGCUCUGCCGUUUGGAAGAGGAUUCUGACCUGUCUAGACAUUAUCGAAGGCUUGUAAGUGGUGGUUUUAAUGCAUUGCCCAUGAAGGCACAAUGACACUCACUGCAGAGCCCAGAGCAGACAGACAGACUGCCAGAUCUACUUACUGGCUGUGGGUUUGAACUGUUGUCUAGUGAGAAUAGAACUGUGUGUUAUGUCAGGUGUGCCUCCAGAGCGGCCUGUGCAGACCAGAGGGAGAGAGCUGUGUUGUUCAGGUGGGCCUCGACAGGCACAGACACCUGUGUGUGUCAUGUGGCCACUUAGGUGACAGAGGGGUCAGUAACCAGGAAAGUGGGCAAAUCUUCCUGUGGAUCAAACUUUUUCACUGCAGAUCAAACUGCUGAUAUACAUAUUUACUCUCACUUUAAUAUUUAAAGCUAAGAUAUUAUAAAUUGCAGACCAUUUCUAUCAUCUCCCACCCCCAAAAAACUCCACACCCAUUAUUGGUCACUCUCCGUACCCCCUUCCUCCCUAGCCACCACUGGUCCACUUCUGUUCUGUAGAUUUGCUGGACGUUGUGUAUUCAGAUUUGCUCUUUUUUCUUUGGCUCUUUCAUUUGGCAUGUUUUCAAGGUUUAUCUGUAUUGUAGAAUGUCAAUAUUUCAUUUCUUUUCAGCUGGAUUGUCUCUCUUUCGGUCUUUUUCCACAGACAUUCUUCUCCAGGCUUUGGAGAUCAUACUUAGUAUAGAUGCAGAAUGCAAAGUUCUCCUGGCCUUUGACUCCUAAAGGAAUGGGGGUGCUCUCCCCCGUCCUGUUCAGGCAGAGUGUCUGGAGAGCACCCCCGACUCAGAAAAUGGCUUUAUUGGGAACAGUCGUGGCUGGUUAGAUCCAUGGGUUUGAUUAUAUCGUUCUGGAAGAGGUAAGAGUCUCGGUGGGGUUGCCAACAGGCACGAAGUAAGAAGAAUACAAAGCCACAAACCAAUAGGUCACAGAAGAAGAACAGCAAGCAGCCAAUCAAAACUCACUGUGCAAAGAUAUACAAAUAAAAAGAUUUUUAAUCUAUUGGACUGGAUCAAAUAGGAAAAAGUGAUAUCCAAGAGACAGGAGAGUCUAACAGACAUGGGCAACCUGUGGGCUACAUGUACCUCAAGAUAGCUAUAAAUGUGGACCAGAAAAAAAUAUAUAUAAAACGUAUUUAAAACA